Molecule: ribosomal RNA, 480 nt
Filed under: uncultured bacterium
Lineage: Bacteria
Description: bacterial SSU rRNA
Rfam family: Bacterial small subunit ribosomal RNA
Source: RNAcentral
UUGAACGCUGGCGGCAUGCUUUACACAUGCAAGUCGAACGGUAACAGGCCUUCGGGUGCUGACGAGUGGCGAACGGGUGAGUAAUGCAUCGGAACGUGCCCAAUCGUGGGGGAUAACGUAGCGAAAGUUACGCUAAUACCGCAUACGCCCUGAGGGGGAAAGCAGGGGAUCUUCGGACCUUGUGCGAAUGGAGCGGCUGAUGUCGGAUUAGCUAGUUGGUGGGGUAAAGGCUCACCAAGGCGACGAUCCGUAGCGGGUCUGAGAGGAUGAUCCGCCACACUGGGACUGAGACACGGCCCAGACUCCUACGGGAGGCAGCAGUGGGGAAUUUUGGACAAUGGGCGAAAGCCUGAUCCAGCCAUGCCGCGUGAGUGAAGAAGGCCUUCGGGUUGUAAAGCUCUUUCAGCCGGAAAGAAAUCGCGCAGGCUAAUACUCUGCGUGGAUGACGGUACCGGAAGAAGAAGCACCGGCUAACUACGU